UACGGGGGGGGCAAGCGUUGUUCGGAAUUACUGGGCGUAAAGGGCUCGUAGGCGGCCAACUAAGUCGGAUGUGAAAUCCCCAAGCUUAACUUGGGAACUGCAUCCGAUACUGGAUGGCUUGAAUCCGGGAGAGGGAUGCAGAAUUCCAGGUGUAGCGGUGAAAUGCGUAGAUAUCUGGAGGAACACCGGUGGCGAAGGCGGCAUCCUGGACCGGUAUUGACACUGAGGCGCGAAAGCCAGGGGAGCAAACGGG
This 253-nucleotide ribosomal RNA is filed under the name uncultured bacterium. RNAcentral's name for it is "partial 16S ribosomal RNA". It matches the Rfam family "Bacterial small subunit ribosomal RNA", at positions 524 to 776 of the family's 1533-position model. The record is from RNAcentral.